GCCAGAACGGCCAAACAAUAAUAACAAUUUGUUGGCCUCAAAUUUUUUGGCCUCUAAAAUGUGUUUAUUAUGAUCAAGUUCGAUCCCCAUGGACCACGUGCUGACACAGACCAAUCACGGGCCGGAAUGCUACGAGGAGGCUGGCGGGUGACUCUCUCAGGCAGGAGGAAAACAACUACAUCAACCAUGAUCCAUUACUAGAGGGGUGCGUCACUUGAGUGGGUUGAGUCACUGACGUGAUCUUCCUGUCUGGGUUGGAGCCCCCCCUUGGGCUGUGCCGUGGCGGAGAUCUUUGCGGGCUAUACUCGACCUUGUCUCAGGAUGGACCUGAGCCCUAGGACCAUGCCUCAGGACUACCUGGCAUGAUGACUCCUUGCUGUCCCCAGUCCACCUGGCCGUGCUGCUGCUCCAGUUUCAACUGUUCUGCCUGCGGCUAUGGACCCUGACCUGUUCACCGGACCUGCUACCUGUCCCAGACCUGCUGUUUUCAACUCUCUAUAGACAGCACGAGCGGUAGAGAUACUCUUAAUGAUCGGCUAUGAAAAGCCAACUGACAUUUACUCCUGAGGUGCUGACUUGUUGCACCCUCGACAACUACUGUGAUUAAUAUUAUUUGACC
Molecule: long non-coding RNA, 619 nt
Organism: Oncorhynchus tshawytscha (Chinook salmon)
Lineage: Eukaryota; Metazoa; Chordata; Actinopteri; Salmoniformes; Salmonidae
Source: Ensembl